RNAcentral lists this long non-coding RNA (290 nucleotides) under Brassica napus (rape). Its description in RNAcentral is "long non-coding RNA (BNAP_LNC024800)". Lineage: Eukaryota; Viridiplantae; Streptophyta; Magnoliopsida; Brassicales; Brassicaceae. The record is from RNAcentral.
GUAUGUCGUACUUUUUAAAACAUAUAUUAUACAAUUACAAAAAUCGUGAAAACAAAACUUUGAAUCUUCUGCAGCCUCUUUUGAAUAAUAUCAUAAAUAAAAAACAGACAACAUGGACUUGCAUUAUCUAAGAACAACCAGCUAUGAUUGCAACUACGAUAAAGUGCUUUUCCAAUUGUUCAUCAGCCUCUAUUUCUGUGGAUUCAUCCUUCCAAUAAUAAAAGGUUUGCCCGCAAUCACUUAACCACUUACGAUUUAGAUUACUCCACUCCUACUUAAAAAUCUAAUAC